UACGUAGGGUGCGAGCGUUGUCCGGAAUUAUUGGGCGUAAAGAGCGUGUAGGCGGUUCGGUAGGUCCGUUGUGAAAACUCGAGGCUCAACCUCGAGACGUCGGCGGAAACCAUCUGGCUAGAGUCCGGAAGAGGAGAGUGGAAUUCCUGGUGUAGCGGUGAAAUGCGCAGAUAUCAGGAAGAACACCCGUGGCGAAGGCGGCUCUCUGGGACGGUACUGACGCUGAGACGCGAAAGCGUGGGGAGCGAACAGG
This 253-nucleotide ribosomal RNA is filed under the name uncultured bacterium. Its description in RNAcentral is "partial 16S ribosomal RNA". It matches the Rfam family "Bacterial small subunit ribosomal RNA", at positions 524 to 776 of the family's 1533-position model. The record is from RNAcentral.